This 3406-nucleotide long non-coding RNA is filed under the name Monomorium pharaonis (pharaoh ant). RNAcentral's name for it is "uncharacterized LOC118646399". The record is from RNAcentral. Lineage: Eukaryota; Metazoa; Arthropoda; Insecta; Hymenoptera; Formicidae.
AUAUAAUUAUGUGUAUUAUUGUGUAUAUUAAUUAAUACGAAUUGUUCUAGAAAUAAUGCGAAUAAUGUUCAAGAAAUCCUUUUAUUUAAAAAACAUGCAAUUAGGCUUUAUCGCUUUUAAAGUAAAUCCCCUUAAGGUAUUAUGUACCCUCCAGUUGUGCUCAAAGACGGCCCGCAGAAAAGAAUAGAAUGUUAAAGUAAACAAAAGAUGAUACACCUUUGAACAUCACUACAACGCGUGGCGCUUCUUGUUCGUAUGCACACACAUAACAUACAAUCUCACAACAGAGUGAACGAAGAUCUGGCAACGUCGCAUUGCACGAGAGCAGCGAGAUAAAUAAAGUGGAAGUGAAACUCACGCAAAUACCAUAUAUAUAUAAUAAGACUAUAUUGCUAGUUGAACUGAAAAGAGGAUGAAAACAUUACGGUGCUACUUGGUGUACCGUGACAGUUUUGCGCACGCGCAAAAGUCGCUCCCGCUACCGCGCAUCCCUACUACCACGUGCCACACUUGCAUACAACGAUUUUCGCAGGUACACGAUUUUCACUAUGUCUGUCUCUCUUUGAUUUCACCCACUUCUAUGAGAUAAGCCUAGCUUUAUACGCUAGCAAUAUAUGAGUAUUAUAUAUAUGGGACAUACUCGUUUUAUCUUCUCUCUCCCAUUUUCGUUUAUGCGGCGCAACAUUGCCGCUAUGUUGUGAGCGAGUCACUCUCUACUCGGGAUCAAAAUAACGAACUUUUGAUUAGAUUUAUGUAGAAACGGCACGGGCAAUCAUCGUAAACUUUGUUUUAAUUUAAUAGAAAUAAUAUGUUCUAACAAAUGUUAGUUUGUAAAGAAUAUUUAUUGUUAGAAUUUUUGCCUACAAGCCAUAACAUUCGAUUUUUUUUACAUUUGGUCUAUCUUUCCUAUGUUAAAGACUCACCUUUGAGGCUUCAUAGCUCAAGUUCGGCACGGUAAAUUGUUUUAAAAUUUUAACCAGUUAUGCGAAACAGUUUGAUUUACCUGUAUAAUAAAUUUUUUCCAAAAUUUAUUGAAAAUUGAUUUUGAUACAUAAUACCUUAAACUCAACUCAACUUAACCUUAAACGUUCAAAGACAUGCAAUUUUUUGUUCAUUUUUGAGCUUCAUAUUCAAUAGGGAAAAUGAGAAAUGUUUUGACCAAAACCAUGUAUCUUACCAUUUUUUGGUAUGCUCUUUUGAUUUCCGAGGUUAAAAUUGCAUCUUUGUGCACUCAGAAACCAAUAUGGCGGAUUUUAAGUAGAAAGUACAGAAAAAUUGGAAAUUUUUUUUCCAAUAUUUUUUUCAAUAUUUUUUUCAAAUGGAAGAAGUAUUAGGAUCCAUUUCUAACCGCGUCCAAAGGUGAAUAAAGGUGUAAAAUAGUUGAAGUUUAACUAGAAAUUUUUUUUUUAUUCCAAUUUACUGUAACUUUUAAAAUAACAGAAAUUGCAAGAAAUUUAGUGAAAUAUAGGUUUUUUCUUAAUAAUUUUGUUGUGACACACUCACAACGAUAAAAAAGGUGUUAGUAGCACCGAUGAUGUAAAUCGGUCAGCUGCAUCGGUCAGUAUCGAGCGCAUUAUUCAAGGUUCCGCGCAAUUCGCUCGAAAAUUAGUGCAAUGCUCCUUAGACAGCAUUUACUGUUGUAAGCAAGAUUUUGGACCACAGACCGAUUUACGUCCUAGCGCAAUUUUUCCUUUCCCUCGACCAGACAACCAAAUUAACAAAUAUAUAAGGCGGCGAAAGAAAGUGAGGGACGGGUCAGUCGAAAGCGUCUCUGGUAAAAAUUCUAUUAGAAACGGAUAAAAAAUGUAUCCUAUCCGUUUGUAACUGUUUUAUUAUGCGUUUCUUUUUCUGCAUUUACAGAUAGAAACGGAUAAAAAAUGUUGCAGAUUGUAUAGGAUAUACGCAAAAACGGAAAGAAAGACUAACUGCAUCUAACUGAUUUGUAACAGAACUAUCCGAAUCUGUGCGCUCAUAUAACUCUGUUUUUGACGUACGACUUGGACAUCGCGAUGAGUCCAUGUGACACGUAAUUGCAGUGCGUUUUCUUAUUUAACACCUGUUCCACGAACGUCCUUUCAUUCUGCUUACUAUCCUCAAGGGCACCAGCGAACUCGUCGCCGAGUCGCGAACGGUAUCUAACGGAACGAUCCAACUCUAUACGGUGAUGUAACUAUUCGUUUCUAUAUGCACUAUACAAAAAUUCAAAACGUCCAGUUAUAAAUGCUGUGAAGUGAACGAAUACAAAAACGUGCACGCGCGGAUAGAACAAAAAAAUCUUUUUAAUUGAUUGCCCAAUUUAUCUUCUUUCCUUUGCACUAGAAGGAGAAAAAUAAACUCUGAAUUAGUUUAACUAAAAAAAAAAACGUUAUACGUCUGCAUACAUACAUUCAAAUCAUUUCAUUAAAACUCGAUUAUAUACCUUAAAUAAAUUGCUAUAAGUUGACGUUGCAAACAGAGGCAGAUAGAUAUAGCAUCCGUGAUUACGGAUAGAUAUUGUCUACACUCGGUGCGUUCAGAAUGUGGACAGAAACGGACAAAAAUCGUAAUUACAAAUAAAUUUCUAUAGGUUGACGUUGCAAACACAAGUAGAUGAAUAUAGCAUCCGUAAUUACAGAUACAUACUGUCUACACUUGGUGCGUUCAGAAUGUGGACAGAAACGGAAAAAAAUCGUAUCCAAAAUUACAAAUAAAUUUCUAUAGGUUGACGUUGCAAACAUAGGUAGAUAGAUAUAGUAUCCGUAAUCUGAUGCAUACAGGAUGCAAACGGACAGAAUUUAUUUCUGCAAAAACUUAUAAAUCCUGAUAUACAGAUAAAUUACUAGUACAUACAGUUACGCUGUUGCAAUUUCUAACUGCAUUUGCGAAUGCAACAAUAUUGCUUAUAGAAACGGAUAGUAAUUGAGUCUUUUCUUUAAGCUUGCAGAUACAACGUAUAGGAUUCGGUUAAAAACUGUUAGAAAUUCUAUCUUUUUUUUACUGUUUCUAUUUGUUCCUAACAGAAAUUUUUACCAGGGAUUACCACGACAUUCUGCCUUGCGAGGUCGUGGAUCAACUAAAGUCAGGUCAAUCCGAGUUUAACACAUGACACUCUGCUUUGCGGGGUCGUAGCCUAACCGCAUUAUUGUAAACGGAGAAUAUAUUAAAAGUGUUUAUUACUCAGUGCAAAAGAUUAAAUUUCUUUUUGCAAAAUCUCUGGCAGCGAUCCCUUUAGUAUUCAAACCAGGAGUACAACAAUUCUAUGAAAAUCAAGCAUUGUCAAGCUUUUUUUCUUUAUGGUAUGAAUUUUGGAUGAAUCCAACAUCACUGUUUAUAUUUUAUCAGAAUUUACAGUCUUAAUAAUGGCGGGUCUAAUGUGGCCAGAACUAAAAAAGUAAUUAAUUUUUUUAGAACUUCCAGAUGAAAAAAA